GGUUGUCGGUCAGCUCGUGUCGUGAGAUGUUGGGUUAAGUCCCGCAACGAGCGCAACCCUUGUCUUUAGUUACCAUCAUUCAGUUGGGGACUCUAGAGAGACUGCCGGUGAUAAACCGGAGGAAGGUGGGGAUGACGUCAAAUCAUCAUGCCCCUUAUGGCCUGGGCUACAAACGUAAUACAAUGGCGUAUACAAAGGGAUGCGCAAGGGCGACCUGGAGCAAAACUCACAAAGUACGUCUCAGUUCAGAUUGGAGUCUGCAACUCGACUCCAUGAAGGCGGAAUCGCUAGUAAUCGCGGAUCAGCAUGCCGCGGUGAAUACGUUCUCGGGGUUU
This 335-nucleotide ribosomal RNA is filed under the name uncultured Erysipelothrix sp. RNAcentral describes it as "bacterial SSU rRNA". It matches the Rfam family "Bacterial small subunit ribosomal RNA", at positions 1047 to 1382 of the family's 1533-position model. The record is from RNAcentral. Lineage: Bacteria; Bacillati; Bacillota; Erysipelotrichia; Erysipelotrichales; Erysipelotrichaceae.